UGAAUACGAGACGCUAAGGCGUCGAAGUAGUGAAUGUCAUACUUCCAAGAAAAGCUUGCACUGUCAUAGAUAAAAAACGCCUGUACCAUAACCGACACAGGUGGGUAGGUAGAGUAUACUAAGGGGCGCGAGAUAACUCUCUCUAAGGAACUCGGCAAAAUAACUCCGUAACUUCGGGAGAAGGAGUGCCUUAUUCGUAAGGUUGCAAUAACAAGAUCCAAGCAACUGUUUAUCAAAAACACAGGUCUCCGCUAAGUCGUAAGACGAUGUAUGGGGGCUGACGCCUGCCCAGUGCCAGAAGGUUAAAGAAGUUGGUUAGCAAUUGCGAAGCUGAUAACUGAAGCCCUGGUGAACGGCGGCCGUAACAAUAACGGUCCUAAGGUAGCGAAAUUCCUUGUCGGGUAAGUUCCGACCCGCACGAAAGGCGUAAUGAUUUGGAUACUGUCUCGGAGAGGGGCUCGGUGAAAUAGACUUGUCUGUGAAGAUGCGGACUACCUGCACCAGGACAGAAAGACCCUAUGAAGCUUUACUGUAACUUGAAAUUGAAAUUGGACUUUAUUCGCGCAGUAUAGGUGGGAGGCGUUGAUUAUAAUCUUGUGGGAUUAUUGGAGCCAUCAGUGAGAUACCACUCUUGUAAUGUUAGAUUUCUAACUUUGAAUCAUUAUCUGGUCAAAGAACAGUUUCAGGCGGGCAGUUUGACUGGGGCGGUCGCCUCCUAAACGGUAACGGAGGCGUACAAAGGUUUCCUCUGAACGGUUAGAAAUCGUAUCUAGAGUGUAAAGGCAUAAGGAAGCUUGACUGUGAGACCUACAAGUCGAGCAGGGACGAAAGUCGGUCUUAGUGAUCUGACGGUACUGAGUGGAAAGGCCGUCACUCAACGGAUAAAAGUUACUCUAGGAUAACAGGCUGAUCUCCCCCAAGAGUUCACAUCGACGGGGAGGUUUGGCACCUCGAUGUCGGCUCAUCGCAUCCUGGGGCGGUAGUACGUCCCAAGGGUUGGGCUGUUCGCCCAUGAAAGCGGUACGCGAGCUGGGUUCAGAACGUCGUGAGACAGUUCGGUCCAUAUCCGGUGUAGGCGUUAGAAUAUUGAGAGGAGCCUUCUUUAGUACGAGAGGACCGAGAAGGACAUACCUCUGGUGUACCAGUUAUCGUGCCAACGGUAAACGCUGGGUAGCUAUGUAUGGAGUGGAUAACCGCUGAAAGCAUCUAAGUGGGAAGCCCACCUCAAGAUAAGUAUUCUCAC
Molecule: ribosomal RNA, 1243 nt
Filed under: metagenome
Description: bacterial LSU rRNA
Rfam family: Bacterial large subunit ribosomal RNA
Source: RNAcentral